ACAUACCUAUGCUAUGAUAAUUUGUCAUGCUUUAUGCUUGGUUAUGCUUAUUGUUCAAUUAUUAAUGAAGUAGGCUUGAUUAUGUUUAUUUGUUGUGCUUGUACAUUUUUUGAAACUUUAGACAUGUCAAGCGACUGAAGAAGGUAUAUUGGAAACAUGUGGAGCUGCAUUGGAUAUGGACAAAGUUUUCCAUCGGGGGUUGAGUCACAACAUGGUUGUAUGAUUGGAACACAACAAAGUGUUAUCACUCGGAUGUACUGUAGGAGAGAUGGUAACUUCUGGCAAUUGAAGAGUUGGGUCUAUUUAAAAUUAUGCAACUUCUGCUUGUGAUUUUUGGGAGCUUUGUCAGUUGCUGCUUUGCUGGGUGUAGCUUAGGCUUGGUUGCAACCAUGUUUUGUUGGAGGCUGCUUGUUACACAAAUAUUUUUAUUCGUCUGUCUUGAUGUCCAUCGGAUUAAAACUAAUGGAUAACAUUUCACUCUUUCUAUGA
Molecule: long non-coding RNA, 489 nt
Organism: Juglans microcarpa x Juglans regia
Lineage: Eukaryota; Viridiplantae; Streptophyta; Magnoliopsida; Fagales; Juglandaceae
Exons: 2
Source: RefSeq, a predicted model, not a curated record